This 406-nucleotide ribosomal RNA is filed under the name uncultured bacterium. RNAcentral's name for it is "partial 16S ribosomal RNA". It matches the Rfam family "Bacterial small subunit ribosomal RNA", at positions 30 to 526 of the family's 1533-position model. The record is from RNAcentral.
AUUGAACGCUGGCGGCAGGCCUAACACAUGCAAGUCGAACGAGUGGCGGACGGGUGAGUUAUGUCUGGGAAACUGCCUGAUGGAGGGGGAUAACUACUGGAAACGGUCGCUAAUACCGCAUCCCAUCGGAUGUGCCCAGAUGGGAUUAGCUCGUGGGUGGGGGAACGGCUCACCUAGGCGACGAUCCCGAGCUGGUCUGAGAGGAUGACCAGCCACACUGGAACUGAGACACGGUCCAGACUCCUACGGGAGGCAGCAGUGGGGAAUAUUGCGCAAUGGGCGCAAGCCUGAUGCAGCCAUGCCGCGUGUAUGAAGAAGGCCUUCGGGUUGUAAAGUACUUUCAGCGGGGAGGCGUUACCCGCAGAAGAAGCACCGGCUAACUCCGUGCCAGCCGCCGCGGUAAUAC